RNAcentral lists this ribosomal RNA (454 nucleotides) under uncultured bacterium. RNAcentral describes it as "bacterial SSU rRNA". It matches the Rfam family "Bacterial small subunit ribosomal RNA", at positions 28 to 480 of the family's 1533-position model. The record is from RNAcentral.
GACGAACGUUGGCGGCGUGCCUAAUACAUGCAAGUCAACUGAAAUACCGGUAGCAAUACUGGUAUGGAGGUGGCGCACGGGUGAGUAACACGUAGGUAAUCUGCCUUCAGGUCUGACAUAACCCAUCGAAAGGUGAGCUAAUAUCAGAUGAUGCAGCGGCUUGACAUCAAGACAGUUGUUAAAGCUUCGGCGCCUGAAGAUGAGCCUGCGCUGAUUAGCUAGUUGGCGGGGUAACGGCCCACCAAGGCUGCGAUCAGUAGCUGGUCUGAGAGGAUGAUCAGUCACACUGGAACUGAGACACGGUCCAGACUCCUACGGGAGGCAGUAGUAAGGAAUAUUGCUCAAUGGCCGAAAAGGCUGAAGCAGCAACGCCGCGUGAGGGAUGAAGGGCCUUUGCUUGUAAACCUCUGUAGCGAGAGACAAAACUCCCAUUUUAUGGGACAUGAUGGUAUCU